AUGAUUAAAGAUAGCUUGCUAUUUUUAUGAAGAGCGGCGAACGGGUGAGUAACGCGUGGGAAAUCUGCCGAGUAGCGGGGGACAACGUUUGGAAACGAACGCUAAUACCGCAUAACAAUGAGAAUCGCAUGAUUCUUAUUUAAAAGAAGCAAUUGCUUCACUACUUGAUGAUCCCGCGUUGUAUUAGCUAGUUGGUAGUGUAAAGGACUACCAAGGCGAUGAUACAUAGCCGACCUGAGAGGGUGAUCGGCCACACUGGGACUGAGACACGGCCCAGACUCCUACGGGAGGCAGCAGUAGGGAAUCUUCGGCAAUGGGGGCAACCCUGACCGAGCAACGCCGCGUGAGUGAAGAAGGUUUUCGGAUCGUAAAACUCUGUUGUUAGAGAAGAACGUUAAGUAGAGUGGAAAAUUACUUAAGUGACGG
Molecule: ribosomal RNA, 426 nt
Filed under: Enterococcus malodoratus
Lineage: Bacteria; Bacillati; Bacillota; Bacilli; Lactobacillales; Enterococcaceae
Description: bacterial SSU rRNA
Rfam family: Bacterial small subunit ribosomal RNA
Source: RNAcentral